GACAGAGGGUGCAAACGUUGUUCGGAAUUACUGGGCGUAAAGCGUGCGCAGGCGGUUCGCCAAGUCAGGUGUGAAAUCCCCGGGCUUAACCUGGGAAUUGCGCUUGAAACUAGCGGGCUUGAGUGCGGCAGAGGGGGGUGGAAUUCCACGUGUAGCAGUGAAAUGCGUAGAGAUGUGGAGGAACACCGAUGGCGAAGGCAGCCCCCUGGGUCGACACUGACGCUCAUGCACGAAAGCGUGGGGAGCAAACAGG
Molecule: ribosomal RNA, 253 nt
Filed under: uncultured bacterium
Lineage: Bacteria
Description: partial 16S ribosomal RNA
Rfam family: Bacterial small subunit ribosomal RNA
Source: RNAcentral